Molecule: unclassified non-coding RNA, 317 nt
Filed under: uncultured Sarocladium
Lineage: Eukaryota; Fungi; Ascomycota; Sordariomycetes; Hypocreales
Description: sequence contains ITS1
Rfam family: 5.8S ribosomal RNA (bases 1-105)
Source: RNAcentral
GAAAUGCGAUAAGUAAUGUGAAUUGUAGAAUUCAGUGAAUCAUCGAAUCUUUGAACGCACAUUGCGCCCGCCGGCACUCCGGCGGGCAUGCCUGUCCGAGCGUCAUUUCAACCCUCAGGACCCCCUUUCGGGGCGGGACCUGGUGCUGGGGAUCAGCGGCCUCCGGGCCCCUGUCCCCCAAAUGAAGUGGCGGUCGCGCCGCAGCCUCCCCUGCGUAGUAGCACAACCUCGCACCGGAGAGCGGCACGGCCACGCCUUGAAACCCCCAUAUUUCUAAGGUUGACCUCGGAUCAGGUAGGAAUACCCGCUGAACUUAA